RNAcentral lists this ribosomal RNA (384 nucleotides) under uncultured organism. Its description in RNAcentral is "bacterial SSU rRNA". It matches the Rfam family "Bacterial small subunit ribosomal RNA", at positions 45 to 433 of the family's 1533-position model. The record is from RNAcentral.
UGCUUUACACAUGCAAGUCGAACGGAUUAAAGAGCUUGCUCUUUAGUUAGUGGCGAACGGGUGAGUAAUAUAUCGGAACAUAUCCGGAAGUGGGGGAUAACGUAGCGAAAGUUACGCUAAUACCGCAUAUGCCCUGAGGGGGAAAGGGGGGGAUCGCAAGACCUCUCGCUUUCGGAGUGGCCGAUAUCGGAUUAGCUAGUAGGUGAGGUAAAGGCUCACCUAGGCGACGAUCCGUAGCUGGUCUGAGAGGACGACCAGCCACACUGGAACUGAGACACGGUCCAGACUCCUACGGGAGGCAGCAGUGGGGAAUUUUGGACAAUGGGCGAAAGCCUGAUCCAGCCAUACCGCGUGAGUGAAGAAGGCCUUCGGGUUGUAAAGCUC